Molecule: ribosomal RNA, 607 nt
Filed under: Staphylococcus sp. J2015-A
Lineage: Bacteria; Bacillati; Bacillota; Bacilli; Caryophanales; Staphylococcaceae
Description: bacterial SSU rRNA
Rfam family: Bacterial small subunit ribosomal RNA
Source: RNAcentral
GCUCCUUUGACGUUAGCGGCGGACGGGUGAGUAACACGUGGGUAACCUACCUAUUAGACUGGGAUAACUUCGGGAAACCGGAGCUAAUACCGGAUAAUAUUUCGAACCGCAUGGUUCGAUAGUGAAAGAUGGCUUUGCUAUCACUUAUAGAUGGACCUGCGCCGUAUUAGCUAGUUGGUAAGGUAACGGCUUACCAAGGCAACGAUACGUAGCCGACCUGAGAGGGUGAUCGGCCACACUGGAACUGAGACACGGUCCAGACUCCUACGGGAGGCAGCAGUAGGGAAUCUCCCGCAAUGGGCGAAAGCCUGACGGAGCAACGCCGCGUGAGUGAUGAAGGUCUUCGGAUCGUUAAAGUCUGUUAUUAGGGAAGAACAAACGUGUAAGUAACUGUGCACGUCUUGACGGUACCUAAUCAGAAAGCCACGGCUAACUACGUGCCAGCAGCCGCGGUAAUACGUAGGUGGCAAGCGUUAUCCGGAAUUAUUGGGCGUAAAGCGCGCGUAGGCGGUUUUUUAAGUCUGAUGUGAAAGCCCACGGCUCAACCGUGGAGGGUCAUUGGAAACUGGAGAACUUGAGUGCAGAAGAGGAAAGUGGAAUUCCAUGU